GAUGAACGCUGGCGGCGUGCUUAACACAUGCAAGUCGAACGGUGAAGCAGGAGCUUGCUCUUGUGGAUCAGUGGCGAACGGGUGAGUAACACGUGAGCAACCUGCCCCUGACUCUGGGAUAAGCGCUGGAAACGGCGUCUAAUACUGGAUAUGUGAUGUGACCGCAUGGUCUGCAUCUGGAAAGAAUUUCGGUUGGGGAUGGGCUCGCGGCCUAUCAGCUUGUUGGUGAGGUAAUGGCUCACCAAGGCGUCGACGGGUAGCCGGCCUGAGAGGGGGACCGGCCACACUGGGACUGAGACACGGCCCAGACUCCUACGGGAGGCAGCAGUGGGGAAUAUUGCACAAUGGGCGGAAGCCUGGUGCAGCAGCGCCGCGUGAGGGAUGACGGCCUUCGGGUUGUAAACCUCUUUUAGCAGGGAAGAAGCGAAAGUGACGGUACCUGCAGAAAAAGCACCGGCUAACUACGUGCCAGCCGCCGCAGUAA
This 484-nucleotide ribosomal RNA is filed under the name uncultured bacterium. RNAcentral's name for it is "partial 16S ribosomal RNA". It matches the Rfam family "Bacterial small subunit ribosomal RNA", at positions 28 to 523 of the family's 1533-position model. The record is from RNAcentral.